UAUUGCACAAUGGGCGAAAGCCUGAUGCAGCGACGCCGCGUGAGUGAAGAAGUAUCUCGGUANGUAAAGCUCUAUCAGCAGGGAANNCCNNNANGGUACCUGACUAAGAAGCCCCGGCUAACUACGUGCCNGCAGCCGCGGUAAUACGUAGGGGGCAAGCGUUAUCCGGAUUUACUGGGUGUAAAGGGAGCGUAGACGGCGACGCAAGUCUGGAGUGAAAGCCCGGGGCUCAACCCCGGGACUGCUUUGGAAACUGUAAAACUGGAGUGCAGGAGAGGCAGGCGGAAUUCCUAGUGUAGCGGUGAAAUGCGUAGAUAUUAGGAGGAACACCAGUGGCGAAGGCGGCCUGCUGGACUGUAACUGACGUUGAGGCUCGAAGGCGUGGGGAGCAAA
RNAcentral lists this ribosomal RNA (393 nucleotides) under uncultured bacterium. RNAcentral describes it as "partial 16S ribosomal RNA". It matches the Rfam family "Bacterial small subunit ribosomal RNA", at positions 362 to 772 of the family's 1533-position model. The record is from RNAcentral.